UCGAGGGGCAGCGGGGGCGAAAGCUUGCUUUCGCCUGCCGGCGACCGGCGCACGGGUGAGUAACACGUAUGGAACCUGCCCUAUGCAGGGGGAUAAGCGGAAGAAAUUCCGUCUAAUACCGCAUAACACCAUUUGGAGACAUCUCCAGGUGGUCAAAGGAGGCGACUCCGGCAUAGGAUGGCCAUGCGUCGCAUUAGCUAGUCGGCGGGGUAACGGCCCACCGAGGCGACGAUGCGUAGGGGUUCUGAGAGGAAGGUCCCCCACACUGGUACUGAGACACGGACCAGACUCCUACGGGAGGCAGCAGUGAGGAAUAUUGGUCAAUGGGCGCAAGCCUGAACCAGCCAAGUCGCGUGAGGGAAGACGGUCCUAUGGAUUGUAAACCUCUUUUGUCGGGGAGCAAAGCGCGGUACGAGUACCGUGAAGGAGAGUACCCGAAGAAAAAGCAUCGGCUAACUCCGUGCCAGCAGCCGCGGUAAUACGGAGGAUGCGAGCGUUAUCCGGAUUUAUUGGGUUUAAAGGGUGCGUAGGCGGAUUUGUAAGUCAGCGGUAAAAAUGCGGUGCUCAACGCCGUAUCGCCGUUGAAACUGCGGGUCUUGAGUGAGCGAGAAGUAUGCGGAAUGCGUGGUGUAGCGGUGAAAUGCAUAGAUAUCACGCAGAACUCCGAUUGCGAAGGCAGCAUACCGGCGCUCAACUGACGCUGAGGCACGAAAG
Molecule: ribosomal RNA, 714 nt
Filed under: uncultured bacterium
Lineage: Bacteria
Description: bacterial SSU rRNA
Rfam family: Bacterial small subunit ribosomal RNA
Source: RNAcentral